ACCCAGCCGACGAGUCCAAAAUAGGACGAAAUGCGCGUCCUGCAU
Molecule: non-coding RNA, 45 nt
Organism: Schistosoma mattheei
Lineage: Eukaryota; Metazoa; Platyhelminthes; Trematoda; Strigeidida; Schistosomatidae
Source: Rfam